CCUACGUGGGGCAGCAGUGAGGAAUAUUGGUCAAUGGGCUUACGCCUGAACCAGCCAAGUCGCGUGAGGGAAGACUGCCCUAUGGGUUGUAAACCUCUUUUGUCAGGGAGCAAUUGGCGCUACGUGUAGCGUUAUCGAGAGUACCUGAAGAAAAAGCAUCGGCUAACUCCGUGCCAGCAGCCGCGGUAAUACGGAGGAUGCGAGCGUUAUCCGGAUUUAUUGGGUUUAAAGGGUGCGUAGGCGGAAUGCCAAGUCAGCGGUAAAAUCGCGGGGCUCAACCUCGCUACGCCGUUGAAACUGGCGGUCUUGAGUGGGCGAGAAGUAUGCGGAAUGCGUGGUGUAGCGGUGAAAUGCAUAGAUAUCACGCAGAACUCCGAUUGCGAAGGCAGCAUACCGGCGCCCAACUGACGCUGAAGCACGAAAGCGUGGGUAUCGAACAGGAUUAGAUACCCUUGUAGUC
RNAcentral lists this ribosomal RNA (460 nucleotides) under uncultured bacterium. RNAcentral describes it as "partial 16S ribosomal RNA". It matches the Rfam family "Bacterial small subunit ribosomal RNA", at positions 338 to 795 of the family's 1533-position model. The record is from RNAcentral.